RNAcentral lists this ribosomal RNA (179 nucleotides) under uncultured Streptococcus sp. RNAcentral describes it as "partial 16S ribosomal RNA". It matches the Rfam family "Bacterial small subunit ribosomal RNA", at positions 1205 to 1382 of the family's 1533-position model. Lineage: Bacteria; Bacillati; Bacillota; Bacilli; Lactobacillales; Streptococcaceae. The record is from RNAcentral.
UGACCUGGGCUACACACGUGCUACAAUGGUUGGUACAACGAGUUGCGAGUCGGUGACGGCGAGCUAAUACUCUUAAAGCCAAUCUCAGUUCGGAUUGUAGGCUGCAACUCGCCUACAUGAAGUCGGGAUCGCUAGUAAUCGCGGAUCAGCACGCCGCGGUCGAAUACGUUCCGGGCCUU